GAUGAACGCUGGCGGCGUGCCUAAUACAUGCAAGUCGAGCGAACAGACGAGGAGCUUGCUCCUCUGACGUUAGCGGCGGACGGGUGAGUAACACGUGGAUAACCUACCUAUAAGACUGGGAUAACUUCGGGAAACCGGAGCUAAUACCGGAUAAUAUAUUGAACCGCAUGGUUCAAUAGUGAAAGACGGUUUUGCUGUCACUUAUAGAUGGAUCCGCGCCGCAUUAGCUAGUUGGUAAGGUAACGGCUUACCAAGGCAACGAUGCGUAGCCGACCUGAGAGGGUGAUGGGCCACACUGGAACUGAGACACGGUCCAGACUACUACGGGAGGCAGCAGUAGGGAAUCUUCCGCAAUGGGCGAAAGCUUGACGGAGCAACGCCGCGUGAGUGAUGAAGGUCUUCGGAUCGUAAAACUCUGUUAUUAGGGAAGAACAAAUGUGUAAGUAACUAUGCACGCCUUGACGGUACCUAAUCAGAAAGCCACGGCUAACUACGUG
RNAcentral lists this ribosomal RNA (497 nucleotides) under uncultured bacterium. RNAcentral's name for it is "partial 16S ribosomal RNA". It matches the Rfam family "Bacterial small subunit ribosomal RNA", at positions 28 to 507 of the family's 1533-position model. The record is from RNAcentral.